CACAGACUGUAAAACUUACUUUUUCACACAAGAACAUUACACUACAGUAUUACUAGUGUAUCGAUUUUUUUUCUAAGCGCUUCUUCCAAUUCUGGACCGCGGAGGCGCACAACAUAUUUUAUUUUCAAUUAUUAUACUGAAAACAAUCCUCAAGACCUUUAAAAAAUAAACACUAAAUUAAAAAUAAGACCCAAACACGUAUUACAGGUUGAUGUUUUAUAUUCAUUUACCCGUAGUCUAUUAAUAAAAAAAGUGUAUGUCUACAUUUCAUGAUACCGUGUUCAGUAUUACCCGAAAAGAGCUCACACUCCAUCGUACAAUGUACCCAAAUAGCUUUUUGGUAGACCUGUAAAUAAAAAAAAUACUAUAAUAAACAUGAUCUGCUAAAAGGAUCACGCUUCACUGGCUUGGGCUCAAGACAGGCGUGGCAGUUGCUACUGGAAACGGUUUGGUGUGACUUCCGGUUGAAGACGAAACGAUUCUUGACGUAAAAUAUGAAACUAUUAAAAUCUAAAAAUUAAAAAAAAAUCACUUCAGUUCAGUUCUUGAGACAAAAUAGCGAAGAAAAUGUCUGGAAAUUUGAGACCAACUCCAAAACCAUCUAAACAAUCUCCUGCUCAGAAAAAUGGGAAGCGAAAUGCCUUGGCCCCAACCAUUAACUGGUCAUCCUCAACCUCUUUGACCUCUAUAGAAGCUGAAUACAUUAAAAAUCUCCAGGAACAGGUUUAUCUUCUGGAGCUGGAAACAGCUUAUUUGCGUGAGAAGUCAGUAAAAGCUAUCAACAUUCAGCCAAAAGUCAGAUUACAGGCAGAGAGGACACUGCAUAAAAUGAAGGCUUUGCAAGCAGAGGUUGACAGUGCCACCAUGUCAGUUGAUAAAAAGGAUAAGUGCAUUGCAAGUCUGAAAUCAGAGAAGAAACAACUGCAAUGCGAGCUUCAGUCCAUGACUGAUACUAACUUCAGAAACAAAUUGCUAUUGACCGUGGAGCUGGAACAACUAAAGAAACUGAAAGAGGUUACUAGCCAAGAUUUGGACCACAAGACCAAGGAGCUAUUAAAUAUGAAAAGAGAGCUGGAGAGAACAUCAAUUACUGUCAAAGAGAAAGAGGAAAAGAUCAGGCUUUUGGAAGCCCAGCUGAAAUGGAAGGUGCAGCAUCAGCAGAGCACAGAAGCAGAGCUGGCAAAGAAGCGAGCAGAGCUGCUGGAAGCACAGGCUUCUCUCUACUGUCUGGAGGAGAAACAUCUUACAAGCACAGGCUCCAUUCAAGAGCACAUUGCCAAAGAGCUUCGUGAGGAGAUACGACACCUGAGGAUGCAGCUGACAGAAAGGCAGCUCUCGGGAGAAGAGGAUGACUAUGUGAAGAGUAAACUGGCAGAAAACUGUAGACGACUAACCAAAGAAAAUGCACAGCUCCUUUCACAAAUAACAGAAGUAUCCAAGCAGCUUGAAAAGUUCCAUGCGCUUAGGAAUGAAGACAAUAUGCGCAAAUCUAGCAGCAUUACAGAACUUGCAUCAUUGAAAGACCAGGAGAGACAGCUGGAGUGGGAGCUAGCCAACUGGAAACGAUCAGUGAAUGAGGAGAAGAUGAAAGUUUUGCAGUCUAUGGCAGAGCUACAUGAUCUGGAGCAAGUGAAAAGCUCAGCACAGGAGAAAAGGGCUUCUCUCGGCAGCCUGCUUUCAGAACUGGAAGGAAAGUACUCCAAGAUUCACACAGAAAAUGCAGAAAUCCGCGGCGAGAAAGUACAACUCGUGGAUUACAUAUCCCAGCUUAAUAAACAGAUUUUUGAUAAGGAGGAAGAAAUUCGGGGUUUGAAGAACCACACCCACACCUUAUCCAAUGAUCUGUCAAGCCUGAGAUGCUAGGCAAAAGUGUAAUUAAUUGACUGCAUCACACACAUCAUUUCUCUGAAUAAAGACAAACACCAGCCACAAAUAUAUAAAUCAAAAUAUAUUUGCUGUAUACUGGAUACACCUUGUUGAUGUUUCACAUGCAGAAUAUUUGCAAAAGUGUACUGCUCCUUUCAAUAUUUUCACAUUCUGAUUAAUUUUAAGUAAUGAACAGUGAUGACAACCUAUUAUUAAAAUUGUUGGGUCCAGGACAGCAGACACAUACUGUACAUAAACAGCUGUAAAGUUUGAGAAAAUAGUGCUCUUUAUUUUACAGCGAGGGAAAAUCAAAACAGACGCCAGAAACCAAACCAAACAAACAAAAAAACUAAAUCUUAGCUCCUUUUUCAGCUCUUGACUAGACUUUGUCCCCAUCUAUCAUACUGGGCAGGUAAGUUAAAUGUGAUUCACAUAAGGCCGCCAUGUUAUCUAAACCUGCUGUACUCUUAUAGUGAAGGAAGCUGAAUUUCAACAAAAUCUGGAAAGAAGAUAUUUUGAGUGAAUUUUGUACUAAACCCCAUAAGUUAGUACUUUGUGGAAGCAUCUUUGGUAGAAAUGACUGCUGCCAGCAUUGCACAGUAGGAUGAUAUAAUUUUCACUAUUCUUCCUAGUAGAAUUGCUCCAGUUUUGACAGGUUCAUUGGAGUUAUUUAAUGGACUAUAACUGUCAAACUUUACCAUAGUAUAGUAUGUAUUCUUAACAUAAAAUCUUAUUUGAAAGCAUUGUGAUAGCAAGCCCAGACAGCAACAGAAUGUGGAAACAUUGCAAAGGGUGAUUACGUUUGCAAGGCAGUGUACAGUACAUUGUAAUUCCUCAUUGUGUGUUAUAUUCCAAAGACUUUUGUAUAGCUGCAUACCUUAUGUGUAGUUUAUUGUAUUCCAUUCCAAUCCUACUUGGAGUCACAACUUUGUGUUUAGAUUAUACCUAAAAAGUAUUGUCCUCUAGAUUUGUUAAUAAAUUAUCAGAUUUAUGAAACAGGGAAAUAUCUACUUAAAAGCACUGUAAAGAGGACAUUUACCAUACAUGUACAACUCAUACUUGUACCAUGACAAUGACAUUAUGUAGAAAGUACAGUCUGUCUUUCAGCUAAAUAUUGAAUGGGUGGCAAUCCUGAGGGAAAAAAUAAUUUUAGAUUUCAAUCUUGGAUGGUGUACCUUCUGAAUAUGACAUUAAAAGUGAUUUAAUAAAUUCUCCUUCAACCUUAU
RNAcentral lists this long non-coding RNA (3092 nucleotides) under Lepisosteus oculatus (spotted gar). RNAcentral describes it as "lncRNA (ENSLOCG00000021503.1)". The record is from RNAcentral. Lineage: Eukaryota; Metazoa; Chordata; Actinopteri; Semionotiformes; Lepisosteidae.